This 478-nucleotide ribosomal RNA is filed under the name uncultured bacterium. RNAcentral's name for it is "partial 16S ribosomal RNA". It matches the Rfam family "Bacterial small subunit ribosomal RNA", at positions 28 to 523 of the family's 1533-position model. The record is from RNAcentral.
GACGAACGCUGGCGGCGUGCUUAACACAUGCAAGUCGAACGGUAAGGCCCUUCGGGGUACACGAGUGGCGAACGGGUGAGUAACACGUGGGUGAUCUGCCCUGCACUUCGGGAUAAGCCUGGGAAACUGGGUCUAAUACCGGAUAGGACCACUGCCUGCAUGGGUGGUGGUGGAAAGCUUUUGCGGUGUGGGAUGGGCCCGCGGCCUAUCAGCUUGUUGGUGGGGUGAUGGCCUACCAAGGCGACGACGGGUAGCCGGCCUGAGAGGGUGACCGGCCACAAUGGGACUGAGAUACGGCACAGACGCCUACGGGAGGCAGCAGUGGGGAAUAUUGCACAAUGGGCGCAAGCCUGAUGCAGCGACGCCGCGUGAGGGAUGACGGCCUUCGGGUUGUAAACCUCUUUCAGCACCGACGAAGCGCAAGUGACGGUAGGUGCAGAAGAAGGACCGGCCAACUACGUGCCAGCCGCCGCCGUAA